RNAcentral lists this unclassified non-coding RNA (214 nucleotides) under uncultured Endogonomycetes. Its description in RNAcentral is "sequence contains ITS2". The record is from RNAcentral. Lineage: Eukaryota; Fungi; Mucoromycota; Endogonomycetes.
UGAACAUCUCAAAAUCGCUUUUUUGUGAUUUUGGAAGUUGGGCUUUUAUUGUUGUGUAGAAUCAUCCAUACACAACUGGCCUGAAAUUUGUGACAUAUUAUUGCAAGAAAAUAUGUAGGUGCGUUGCGGCCAAAGACGAAAAGCUAAUUAGUUGACUGUGGUCAAACUUGCUGAUUAGUCUUCAAAAAACGGCCACAAUGUGACUACAUUCACA